GGUCCCGUCGUUUAAUGGUAGGACUGACGGUUGUCGACCGUCGAGCAGGGGUUCGACUCCCCUCGGGACCGC
RNAcentral lists this transfer RNA (72 nucleotides) under compost metagenome. RNAcentral describes it as "tRNA-Asp". It matches the Rfam family "tRNA". Rfam says of the family: Transfer RNA (tRNA) molecules are approximately 80 nucleotides in length. The record is from RNAcentral.